RNAcentral lists this long non-coding RNA (840 nucleotides) under Mytilus galloprovincialis (Mediterranean mussel). The record is from RNAcentral. Lineage: Eukaryota; Metazoa; Mollusca; Bivalvia; Mytilida; Mytilidae.
CACCCCAUGACUUUCUUACUUUCUUCAUUUCAAUCUCAUUGGUCACCCCAUGACUUUCUUACUUUCUUCAUUUCAAUCUUAUUUAAUAACCUUUCUUUUUACUUUCCAAUUGAUAUAAUUUGCAUGCCUGAAAUGUUAAAAAAAAAUAUAAAACUGAUAUGUCUCAUUGGGGGGUUUUGAUCCUGGAUCCCGCUUACUGUUUUGUCAGAUUCCUGUAUCCGGCUUAGUCAAUGUACAUAAACAAUUCGCAUUUUUUUGUAGUUUCCUGUGUCCCGCUAGACUUCAUUUCCCAUUUUUACGGCAGAAUAAUUUGAUUUUCAUAUGUCACGAUUACAAAAAAAAAAAGCAAUUCUCGUGACAAGCUUAGACCCCAAUGAGACCCACUACAGGUAAAGGAAUGAAUAUUUAAGUUAAAGGCCCUUAGGGGAAGGUAUUGCUCAAAUAGAAGGAUAAGUAACCAUGGUUACCUAGUAAAUUUAAAAUAGUUCUGCGCAAAUAAUUUAAGGAAAAUACAAGGGGUUUGAAAUACACAUGUAAAGGUUAAAAUUAUUACUUAUUAAUAAAUAGACAUUGAUACAAUGCUACUUAAAUUAUAAGUUAAUCAUUAAAUAUGCUAAACUACAAAAAAAUAUAAAUUGUUUACUUAUUACACUACACUAUUCAGGGGCAGAUCCAGCCAUUUGAAAAAGGGGGGUUCCCAACCCAGGAUAAAGGGGGUGUUCCAACCACAUGUCCCCAUUCAAAUGCAUUGAUCGUCAAAAAAAAGGGGGGGUCCAACCCCUGACACCCCUCCCCCCCCUGGAUCCGCCACUGCUAUUACAAUGUAAUCAUAAAAUAUUC